GAUGAACGCUAGCGAUAGGCUUAACACAUGCGAGUCGAGGGGCAGCAUGGUCUUAGCUUGCUAAGGCUGAUGGCGACCGGCGCACGGGUGCGUAACGCGUAUGCAACUUGCCUCACAGAGGGGGAUAACCCGUCGAAAGACGGACUAAUACCGCGUACACUCUAUGUUGGGCAUCCAAUGUAGAGGAAAUGAAAUUCGCUGUGAGAUAGGCAUGCGUCCCAUUAGCUAGUUGGUGAGGUAACGGCUCACCAAGGCGACGAUGGGUAGGGGAACUGAGAGGUUGAACCCCCACACUGGUACUGAGACACGGACCAGACUCCUACGGGAGGCAGCAGUGAGGAAUAUUGGUCAAUGGGCGAGAGCCUGAACCAGCCAAGUCGCGUGAAGGAUGACUGUCUUAUGGAUUGUAAACUUCUUUUAUACGGGAAUGACAAGAGUCACGUGUGGCUCCCUGCAUGUACCGUAUGAAUAAGCAUCGGCUAACUCCGUG
Molecule: ribosomal RNA, 490 nt
Filed under: uncultured bacterium
Lineage: Bacteria
Description: partial 16S ribosomal RNA
Rfam family: Bacterial small subunit ribosomal RNA
Source: RNAcentral